RNAcentral lists this ribosomal RNA (439 nucleotides) under uncultured bacterium. RNAcentral's name for it is "partial 16S ribosomal RNA". It matches the Rfam family "Bacterial small subunit ribosomal RNA", at positions 339 to 795 of the family's 1533-position model. The record is from RNAcentral.
CUACGGGUCGCUGCAGUGGGGAAUAUUGCACAAUGGAGGAAACUCUGAUGCAGCAACGCCGCGUGGAGGAUGACACUUUUCGGUGCGUAAACUCCUUUUAUAGGUCAAGAUAAUGACGGUAGCCUAUGAAUAAGCGCCGGCUAACUCCGUGCCAGCAGCCGCGGUAAUACGGAGGGCGCAAGCGUUACUCGGAAUCACUGGGCGUAAAGAGCGUGUAGGCGGAUUAAAAAGUCAGAAGUGAAAUCCUAUAGCUUAACUAUAGAACUGCUUCUGAAACUCUUAAUCUAGAAUAUGGGAGAGGUAGAUGGAAUUUCUGGUGUAGGGGUAAAAUCCGUAGAGAUCAGAAGGAAUACCGAUUGCGAAGGCGAUCUACUAGAACAUUAUUGACGCUGAGACGCGAAAGCGUGGGGAGUAAACAGGAUUAGAUACCCUGGUAGUC